UUACUAAAAUUGUGUUCUGUCAGUCAGUGGCAAAAAGUCUUGCAAACUUCCUUUUAGCAAACCCAAAAUAUUUCAAAAACCAUAGGCAAUUAUAAGAAUUUUUUGCAGAAAAAAUCUUGAAAUUUUGGCUAAAUUAUUAUGAGAGAAGUUACAAGACAUGCUUCUGAGCCUGUUAUAUCUUAGUAUUUGUCUCAAAAAAUGUUACAAGUCCAAUCCAAGCAACCAAGAUAUAUGAUUAUGUACCUAAAAACCAAGAAAUGUAAUCAGCAAUUUAAUUUCAGCAACUUUACAUCAAUAGAUCCAAGGGAUGGUCCAAAAGUAAAGACUUGAAAUUUUUCCACAUAUUGCUUUGGGUUGAAAGAGUUUGCGGAAAAAAG
RNAcentral lists this unclassified non-coding RNA (377 nucleotides) under Hevea brasiliensis (rubber tree). Lineage: Eukaryota; Viridiplantae; Streptophyta; Magnoliopsida; Malpighiales; Euphorbiaceae. The record is from RNAcentral.